AGCGAACGCUGGCGGCAGGCCUAACACAUGCAAGUCGAACGAACCGUUCGGGGGUAGUGGCGGACGGGGGAGGAACACGUGGGAACGGGCCUUUAGGGUCGGAAUAACUCAGGGAAACGUGUGCUAAUACCGAAUGUGCCCUACGGGGGAAAGAUUAAUCGACUUUAGAGCGGCCCCGGUCCGAUUAGCUAAUUUGUUGAGGUAACGGCUUACCAAGGCGACGAUGAGUAGCUGGUCAGAGAGGGGGCUCAGCCACACUGGAACUGAGACACGGCCCAGACUCCUACGGGAGGCAGCAGUAGGGAAUCUUCCGCAAUGGGCGAAAGCCUGACGGAGCAACGCCGCGUGAGUGAUGAAGGUCUUCGGAUCGUAAAACUCUGUUAUUAGGGAAGAACAAAUGUGGAAGGAACUAUGCACGUCUUGACGGUACCUAAUCAGAAAGCCACGGCUAACUACGUG
This 459-nucleotide ribosomal RNA is filed under the name uncultured bacterium. RNAcentral describes it as "partial 16S ribosomal RNA". It matches the Rfam family "Bacterial small subunit ribosomal RNA", at positions 29 to 507 of the family's 1533-position model. The record is from RNAcentral.